AUUGAACGCUGGCGGCAGGCCUAACACAUGCAAGUCGAGCGGAUGAAGGGAGAUUGCUCCUGGAUUCAGCGGCGGACGGGUGAGUAAUGCCUAGGAAUCUGCCUGGUAGUGGGGGAUAACGUCCGGAAACGGGCGCUAAUACCGCAUACGUCCUGAGUGAGAACGUGGGGGAUCUUCGGACCUCACGCUAUCAGAUGAGCCUAUGUCGGAUUAGCUAGUUGGUGGGGUAAAGGCCUACCAAGGCGACGAUCCGUAACUGGUCUGAGAGGAUGACCAGUCACACUGGAACUGAGACACGGUCCAGACUCCUACGGGAGGCAGCAGUGGGGAAUAUUGGACAAUGGGCGAAAGCCUGAUCCAGCCAUGCCGCGUGUGUGAAGAAGGUCUUCGGAUUGUAAAGCUCUUUAAGUUGGGAGGAAGGGCAGUAAGUUAAUACCUUGCUGUCUUGACGGUACCAACAGAAUAAGCACCGGCUAACUUCGUG
RNAcentral lists this ribosomal RNA (484 nucleotides) under uncultured bacterium. Its description in RNAcentral is "partial 16S ribosomal RNA". It matches the Rfam family "Bacterial small subunit ribosomal RNA", at positions 30 to 507 of the family's 1533-position model. The record is from RNAcentral.